RNAcentral lists this ribosomal RNA (546 nucleotides) under Camelus bactrianus (Bactrian camel). RNAcentral's name for it is "partial large subunit ribosomal RNA". It matches the Rfam family "Bacterial large subunit ribosomal RNA", at positions 1816 to 2597 of the family's 2925-position model. Lineage: Eukaryota; Metazoa; Chordata; Mammalia; Artiodactyla; Camelidae. The record is from RNAcentral.
CACCCCUAGCAUUACUAGUAUUAGAGGCACUGCCUGCCCAGUGACAUUAGUUAAACGGCCGCGGUAUCCUGACCGUGCAAAGGUAGCAUAAUCAUUUGUUCUUUAAAUAGGGACUUGUAUGAACGGCCACACGAGGGUUCUACUGUCUCUUGCUUCCAAUCAGUGAAAUUGACCUCCCCGUGCAGAGGCGGGGAUACACAAAUAAGACGAGAAGACCCUAUGGAGCUUUAAUUAACUAACUCAAAGAAAACAUAAAUAACCGCCAAGGGAUAAUAAUCUUCUACCUGAGUUAGCAAUUUCGGUUGGGGUGACCUCGGAGAACAGAAAAACCUCCGAGUGGCUAAAAUCUAGACUUACCAGUCAAAAUGUAGUGUCACUUAUUGAUCCAAAAUAUUUGAUCAACGGAACAAGUUACCCUAGGGAUAACAGCGCAAUCCUAUUCAAGAGUUCAUAUCGACAAUAGGGUUUACGACCUCGAUGUUGGAUCAGGACACCCCAAUGGUGCAGCCGCUAUUAAAGGUUCGUUUGUUCAACGAUUAAAGUCCU